This 69-nucleotide transfer RNA is filed under the name Macropodus opercularis (paradise fish). RNAcentral describes it as "tRNA-Ala". It matches the Rfam family "tRNA". From Rfam's summary of the family: Transfer RNA (tRNA) molecules are approximately 80 nucleotides in length. Their secondary structure includes four short double-helical elements and three loops (D, anti-codon, and T loops). Further hydrogen bonds mediate the characteristic L-shaped molecular structure. tRNAs have two regions of fundamental functional importance: the anti-codon, which is responsible for specific mRNA codon recognition, and the 3' end, to which the tRNAs corresponding amino acid is attached (by aminoacyl-tRNA synthetases). tRNAs cope with the degeneracy of the genetic code in two manners: having more than one tRNA (with a specific anti-codon) for a particular amino acid; and 'wobble' base-pairing, i.e. permitting non-standard base-pairing at the 3rd anti-codon position. RNAcentral also lists the same sequence under 1 other name. The record is from RNAcentral. Lineage: Eukaryota; Metazoa; Chordata; Actinopteri; Anabantiformes; Osphronemidae.
AAGGCUUUAGCUUAAUUAAAGUGUCUGUUUUGCAUGCAGAAGAUGUGAGUUAGUAUCUUGCAGGUCUUA